Molecule: non-coding RNA, 45 nt
Filed under: Schistosoma mansoni
Lineage: Eukaryota; Metazoa; Platyhelminthes; Trematoda; Strigeidida; Schistosomatidae
Source: RNAcentral
AUCUAGCUGGCGAGUCCCAAAUAGGACGAAACGCGCGUCCUGGAU